GAAAGCAUCUAAGCACGAAACUUGCCCCGAGAUGAGUUCUCCCUGAGACUUUAAGUCUCCUGAAGGAACGUUGAAGACGACGACGUUGAUAGGCCGGGUGUGUAAGCGCAGCGAUGCGUUGAGCUAACCGGUACUAAUGAACCGUGAGGCUUAACCUU
This 158-nucleotide ribosomal RNA is filed under the name Klebsiella pneumoniae. RNAcentral describes it as "partial 23S ribosomal RNA". It matches the Rfam family "Bacterial large subunit ribosomal RNA", at positions 2773 to 2925 of the family's 2925-position model. The record is from RNAcentral. Lineage: Bacteria; Pseudomonadati; Pseudomonadota; Gammaproteobacteria; Enterobacterales; Enterobacteriaceae.